GGCUUGUUGAUUAUGAUUUCAAGUUUAGCCUGCCCAAUGAGUAAUUUAAUGGCCGCGGUAAAUUGACCGUGCAAAGGUAGCAUAAUAAUUAGUUUUUUAAUUGGAAGCUUGUAUGAAAGGUUUGAUGAGGAAAUAUCUGUCUCUGUAGAAAUUUAUUAGAAUUUUAUUUUUAAGUGAAAAAGCUUAAAUAAGUAUAAAAGACGAGAAGACCCUAUAGAGUUUGAUAUUUUAUUUAAUUUUGAGUUUGUAGGGAUGAAUAAUUUAAAAGUAAAUAAAGUAUUUUGUUGGGGUGAUAGGAAAAUUUAGUUAACUUUUCUUCAUAUCUACACUUAUUUGUGAGUGAAUGAUCCUUUAGUUUAGAUUAAAAGAUUAAAUUACCUUAGGGAUAACAGCGUAAUCUUUUUUAGAGUUCUUAUCGAAAAAAGGGGUUGCGACCUCGAUGUUGGAUUAAAAUUUAUUGCUGGUGCAGAGGCUAGUGAAUUAGGUCUGUUCGACCUUUAAAAUUUUACAUGAUCUGAGUUUAAACCGGCGUGAG
Molecule: ribosomal RNA, 535 nt
Filed under: Trigonopterus squamirostris
Lineage: Eukaryota; Metazoa; Arthropoda; Insecta; Coleoptera; Curculionidae
Description: partial large subunit ribosomal RNA
Rfam family: Archaeal large subunit ribosomal RNA
Source: RNAcentral